RNAcentral lists this ribosomal RNA (406 nucleotides) under uncultured bacterium. Its description in RNAcentral is "partial 16S ribosomal RNA". It matches the Rfam family "Bacterial small subunit ribosomal RNA", at positions 30 to 526 of the family's 1533-position model. The record is from RNAcentral.
AUUGAACGCUGGCGGCAGGCCUAACACAUGCAAGUCGAACGAGUGGCGGACGGGUGAGUAAUGUCUGGGAAACUGCCUGAUGGAGGGGGAUAACUACUGGAAACGGUAGCUAAUACCGCAUACCAUCGGAUGUGCCCAGAUGGGAUUAGCUAGUAGGUGGGGUAAAGGCUCACCUAGGCGACGAUGCCUAGCUGGGCUGAGAGGAUGACCGGCGAAAUUGGAACUAAUACACGGCCCAGAAUCCUACGGUAGGCAUCAGGGGGGAAUAUUGCACAAUGGGCGCAUGCCUGAGGCAGCCAUGCCGCGUGUAUGAAGAAGGCCUUCGGGUUGUAAAGUACUUUCAGCGGGGAGGCGUUACCCGCAGAAGAAUCACCGGCUAACUCCGUGCCAGCAGCCGCGGUAAUUC